Molecule: ribosomal RNA, 434 nt
Filed under: uncultured bacterium
Lineage: Bacteria
Description: partial 16S ribosomal RNA
Rfam family: Bacterial small subunit ribosomal RNA
Source: RNAcentral
AGCGAACGCUGGCGGCAGGCCUAACACAUGCAAGUCGAACGAACCUUUCGGGGUUAGUGGCGGACGGGUGAGUAACACGUGGGAACGUGCCUUUAGGUUCGGAAUAACUCAGGGAAACUUGUGCUAAUACCGAAUGUGCCCUUCGGGGGAAAGAUUUAUCGCCUUUAGAGCGGCCCGCGUCUGAUUAGCAAGUUGGUUGAGGUAAUGGCUCACCAAGGCGACGAUCAGUAGCUGGUCUGAGAGGAUGAUCAGCCACAUUGGGACUGAGACACGGCCCAAACUCCUACGGGAGGCAGCAGUGGGGAAUCUUGCGCAAUGGGCGAAAGCCUGACGCAGCCAUGCCGCGUGAAUGAUGAAGGUCUUAGGAUUGUAAAAUUCUUUCACCGGGGACGAUAAUGACGGUACCCGGAGAAGAAGCCCCGGCUAACUUCGUG